CCUACGGGGGGCUGCAGUGGGGAAUAUUGGACAAUGGGCGCAAGCCUGAUCCAGCAAUGCCGCGUGUGUGAAGAAGGCCUGCGGGUUGUAAAGCACUUUGAGUGGGGAAGAAGGCCUGGGGGUUAAUAGCUUCUGGGGUUGACGUUACCAACAGAACAAGCACCGGCUAACUCCGUGCCAGCAGCCGCGGUAAUACGGAGGGUGCGAGCGGUAAGUAGAAUUACUGUAGGCAAAGCGCGCGUACUGAGUUGAAAGCCCUGGGCUUAACCUGGGAACUGCAUUUGAUACUGGUUGACUGGAGUGUGGUAGAGGGGUGUGGAAUUUCCGGUGUAGCAGUGAAAUGCGUAGAGAUCGGAAGGAACACCAGUGGCGAAGGCGGCACCCUGGACCGACACUGACGCUGAGGUGCGAAAGCGUGGGGAGCAAACAGGAUUAGAUACCCCUGUAGUC
RNAcentral lists this ribosomal RNA (450 nucleotides) under uncultured bacterium. Its description in RNAcentral is "partial 16S ribosomal RNA". It matches the Rfam family "Bacterial small subunit ribosomal RNA", at positions 338 to 795 of the family's 1533-position model. The record is from RNAcentral.